RNAcentral lists this ribosomal RNA (404 nucleotides) under uncultured Rhodospirillaceae bacterium. Its description in RNAcentral is "bacterial SSU rRNA". It matches the Rfam family "Bacterial small subunit ribosomal RNA", at positions 355 to 776 of the family's 1533-position model. The record is from RNAcentral. Lineage: Bacteria; Pseudomonadati; Pseudomonadota; Alphaproteobacteria; Rhodospirillales; Rhodospirillaceae.
UGGGGAGUAUUGGACAAUGGGGGAAACCCUGAUCCAGCCAUGCCGCGUGAGUGAAGAAGGCCUUAGGGUUGUAAAGCUCUUUCGCACGCGACGAUGAUGACGGUAGCGUGAGAAGAAGCCCCGGCUAACUUCGUGCCAGCAGCCGCGGUAAUACGAAGGGGGCAAGCGUUGUUCGGAUUUACUGGGCGUAAAGGGCGCGUAGGCGGAACGACAAGUCAGAGGUGAAAGCCCUGGGCUCAACCCGGGAAUUGCCUUUGGGACUGCCGUUCUAGAGUUCGGAAGAGGAUGGCGGAAUACCCAGUGUAGAGGUGAAAUUCGUAGAUAUUGGGUAGAACACCGGUGGCGAAGGCGGCCAUCUGGUCCGACACUGACGCUGAGGCGCGAAAGCGUGGGGAGCAAACAGG